RNAcentral lists this ribosomal RNA (256 nucleotides) under uncultured bacterium. Its description in RNAcentral is "partial 16S ribosomal RNA". It matches the Rfam family "Bacterial small subunit ribosomal RNA", at positions 524 to 776 of the family's 1533-position model. The record is from RNAcentral.
UACGUAGGGUGCAAGCGUUUAAUCGGAAUUAUUGGGCGUAAAGCGCUGGUAGGUGGCUUGUUAAGUCGCGUGUGAAAUCUCCAGGCUCAACCUGGAAAGUGCGCGCGAAACUGCAGAGCUUGAGUACCGGAGAGGAUGGCGGAAAUUCCCCAAGUAGAGGUGAAAUUCGUAGAUAUGGGGAGGAACACCGGUGGCGAAGGCGGCCAUCUGGACGGAUACUGACGCUGAGACGCGAAAAGCGUGGGGAGCAAACAGG